UACAGAGGUCCCGAGCGUUGUUCGGAUUCACUGGGCGUAAAGGGUGCGUAGGCGGUUAAACAAGUCUGACGUGAAAUCCUGGAGCUUAACUCCGGAAUGGCGUCGGAAACUGUUUGGCUUGAGGAUUGGAGAGGGGACUGGAAUUCUCGGUGUAGCAGUGAAAUGCGUAGAUAUCGAGAGGAACACCAGUGGCGAAGGCGAGUCCCUGGACAAUACCUGACGCUGAGGCACGAAAGCUAGGGGAGCAAACAGG
This 253-nucleotide ribosomal RNA is filed under the name uncultured bacterium. Its description in RNAcentral is "partial 16S ribosomal RNA". It matches the Rfam family "Bacterial small subunit ribosomal RNA", at positions 524 to 776 of the family's 1533-position model. The record is from RNAcentral.